ACGAACGCUGGCGGCGUGCUUAACACAUGCAAGUCGAACGGUGAAGCGCCUUCCUUUUUGGUGGGUGUGGAUGAGUGGCGAACGGGUGAGUAACACGUGAGUAACCUGCCCCCUUCUUCUGGAUAACCGCAUGAAAGUGUGGCUAAUACGGGAUAUUCUGGGUCUGUCGCAUGAUGGGUCUGGGAAAGAUAUUGUUUCGGUGGGGGAUGGGCUCGCGGCCUAUCAGCUUGUUGGUGGGGUGAUGGCCUACCAAGGCGGUGACGGGUAGCCGGCCUGAGAGGGUGGACGGUCACACUGGGACUGAGACACGGCCCAGACUCCUACGGGAGGCAGCAGUGGGGAAUAUUGCACAAUGGGCGCAAGCCUGAUGCAGCGACGCCGCGUGAGGGAUGGAGGCCUUCGGGUUGUGAACAUCUUUCGCCAGUGAAGCAGGCCUGCCUCGUUUGUGGGUGGGUUGACGGUAGCUGGAUAAGAAGCGCCGGCUAACUACGUG
Molecule: ribosomal RNA, 493 nt
Filed under: uncultured bacterium
Lineage: Bacteria
Description: partial 16S ribosomal RNA
Rfam family: Bacterial small subunit ribosomal RNA
Source: RNAcentral